RNAcentral lists this ribosomal RNA (494 nucleotides) under Escherichia coli. RNAcentral's name for it is "partial 23S ribosomal RNA". It matches the Rfam family "Bacterial large subunit ribosomal RNA", at positions 474 to 969 of the family's 2925-position model. RNAcentral also lists the same sequence under 2 other names. The record is from RNAcentral. Lineage: Bacteria; Pseudomonadati; Pseudomonadota; Gammaproteobacteria; Enterobacterales; Enterobacteriaceae.
UCCUGACUGACCGAUAGUGAACCAGUACCGUGAGGGAAAGGCGAAAAGAACCCCGGCGAGGGGAGUGAAAAAGAACCUGAAACCGUGUACGUACAAGCAGUGGGAGCACGCUUAGGCGUGUGACUGCGUACCUUUUGUAUAAUGGGUCAGCGACUUAUAUUCUGUAGCAAGGUUAACCGAAUAGGGGAGCCGAAGGGAAACCGAGUCUUAACUGGGCGUUAAGUUGCAGGGUAUAGACCCGAAACCCGGUGAUCUAGCCAUGGGCAGGUUGAAGGUUGGGUAACACUAACUGGAGGACCGAACCGACUAAUGUUGAAAAAUUAGCGGAUGACUUGUGGCUGGGGGUGAAAGGCCAAUCAAACCGGGAGAUAGCUGGUUCUCCCCGAAAGCUAUUUAGGUAGCGCCUCGUGAAUUCAUCUCCGGGGGUAGAGCACUGUUUCGGCAAGGGGGUCAUCCCGACUUACCAACCCGAUGCAAACUGCGAAUACCGGAGA